UGGGGAAUAUUGCACAAUGGAGGGAACUCUGAUGCAGCGACGCCGCGUGAGUGAUGAAGGAAUUCGUUUCGUAAAACUCUGUUCUAUGGGAAGAAAAGGACUGUACCAUAGAAGAAAGCCCCGGCUAAAUACGUGCCAGCAGUCGCGGUAAUACGUAUGGAGCGAGCGUUGUCCGGAAUUAUUGGGCGUAAAGGGUGCGCAGGCGGCUUUACAAGUUGGAUGUGAAAUAUUGUGGCUCAACCACAAACGUGCAUCCAAAACUGCAAAGCUUGAGUUAAGGCGAGGUAAGUGGAAUUCCUGGGGUAGCGGUGGAAUGCGUAGAUAUCAGGGGGAAUACCGGUGGCGAAGGCGACUUGCUGGACUUAAACUGACGCUCAGGCACGAAAGCGUGGGGAGCAAACAGG
This 404-nucleotide ribosomal RNA is filed under the name Fusobacteriota bacterium. RNAcentral describes it as "Fusobacteria bacterium partial 16S ribosomal RNA". It matches the Rfam family "Bacterial small subunit ribosomal RNA", at positions 355 to 776 of the family's 1533-position model. The record is from RNAcentral. Lineage: Bacteria; Fusobacteriati; Fusobacteriota.